GAUUGGCCCCCGCCUGCUCCUGCGGUCCUACGGCCCGGCGAGUCGUGUGGACCUGUCUCUAACAAGUUCUUGCACUGUCUCAGGGACUUAAGGCCUGAAGUGGGCUCUGUCCUCUCAGGCCGCGAGUUUCCUGCUCUGCAGGCUCUUCUAGCAGAGUUUAUCCACGCAAACUUUUCGUAGCCGUUGAAAAGGAGACGAAGGCACAGUAAAAGGAAGUGAUUGUCGAAGGACACACCAGCUCUGAGAGGAAGAGAAAAUGUAGACAUGCAAAAGAGAUACCAGGAGUUUAUGUGCCUGGAGGACAUGUGAGGACAUAGCAUGAAGGCAGCCAUCUGCAAGCAAAGGAGAGAGGCCUCGGAAGAAAUCAAAUCUGCUGAUACCCAGAUCUUGGACUUCCAACCUCCAAAACUG
Long non-coding RNA from Capra hircus (goat), 411 nucleotides. RefSeq lists it as uncharacterized. The record is from RefSeq and is a predicted model, not a curated record. The transcript is spliced from 3 exons. Lineage: Eukaryota; Metazoa; Chordata; Mammalia; Artiodactyla; Bovidae.